UCCCUUGUAGCUCAGUUGGUAAAGAAUCUGCCUGCAGUGUAGGAGACCCGGGUUUAAUUCUUGGUUUGGGAA
Molecule: transfer RNA, 72 nt
Filed under: Bos taurus (domestic cattle)
Lineage: Eukaryota; Metazoa; Chordata; Mammalia; Artiodactyla; Bovidae
Also listed under: 2 other names
Rfam family: tRNA
About the family: Transfer RNA (tRNA) molecules are approximately 80 nucleotides in length. Their secondary structure includes four short double-helical elements and three loops (D, anti-codon, and T loops).
Source: Rfam by way of RNAcentral